Molecule: non-coding RNA, 69 nt
Organism: Rattus norvegicus (Norway rat)
Lineage: Eukaryota; Metazoa; Chordata; Mammalia; Rodentia; Muridae
Source: Rfam
GGAGAUUUAGCUCAGUGGUAGAGCGCUUGCCUAGCAAGCGCAAGGCCCUGGGUUCGGUCCCCAGCUCUG